UCUUUCGAAAUUAGAGAUAGGGAGUUGUGAUGAGUUGGCAUCCUUGGAACUGCAUUCAUCUCCUCUUCUUUCUAGUUUAGACAUUCUUGCAAGUGUCUUUGUUAACUUGUCUUAAGAAACUACUACUGUCUAAAGUGAGAGAAGAGGUAUUGCGGCAGUUAAUGCUUGUUACUGAUUCUUCAUUGGAGUCUUUGUCCAUAUGGAAGAUAUAUGAUUUGAUAUUUCUUCCAGAGGAGCUGCAUUGACAUGUUUCAACUCUUCAACGUCUCUCAAUUUACAACUGUUGUGGUUUGACAACAUUACCACGCUGGAUUGGCAGCCUCACCUCACUUAGUCACUAUAUACACAAUUGUGAGCACCUUGCAGAAAUACGUUGAAGGGAACUGGCCCAAGAUUGCUUAUAUCCCAUGAAUUAACAUGUACCUGCAUUAUUGAAGAGUGAACUUAUACAGAAUGUCGUUUUAGAUUUCAGAUUCCUUAAGAAGCUUAUGAUUGGCUUAAUGCCUAAAGGGAUGCUAAAAGGGGACAGGUCUUGGGUUGCCCUAAAGAUUUCACAUGGCCCAUAAAUUCAUAUCUACUAGAUGACUAGUGCAGAAAGGACUUUUGCUCUGUUUUCAAUUCCUGUCUGCUAGUGGACAUAUAUAUUUCAGACAGCUUCUUUUGUCGGAUAAUGAGGAUGAGGUUCACAUGCAAAUUGCAAGGACUCAAAAGCUUGAGUUGGUGUCUCCAUCAUUAGGGCCUCAAAAUGUUAUCAUUCUGGAAAUUCUUAAAAUACUGUUCUUGUUUAGUAACUUCAUCAGAUUGGAUAAACAUCCAAAGAUCUCUUAAUGAGCUACAAAAUGCUGUUUGCCCUGAAUUUGAAUCACUGUGCUCCUCAGUUCUUCAAUGUUUCCAGAAUUGAUACUGACCGAUUUCACCAUGUUUAAGAAACUCGUGGUUAUUCAUUGGCCCAAAGGUUUCUUAUAUGCCAUUGCAAAUAAGGAUGAUGGUGAGGAUGGGUUGAAUAUUGCCCAUGCCUUGGAAAAAAAGCUAUUGAGGGUUGGUGCAAAGUUAAAACUCGUCUUACUUGCAUCAGACUCUCUUUUCACUGCUCUCAAUUGAUAACAUUACCAGACUAGAUAGGCAGGCUUACAGCACCUAUGGAGCUCUGAAUUUAUUGUUUCCCUCAAUUACAUCACUGCGAGAAGAGAUGCAUUCCCUUAGCACCCUACAGAGACUAAUACAGAAAGCCACUUCAGAUUGCACCUUACUUAAGAAUCUUGUGAAAAAGUCCUUGGCCCAACGUGAAAUCACUCCCUACAGUAGCCUGUUCGAGCUUCAAAGCACUGCAAGAAGGUAACAAGUUUUGAAUUGGCUUAAAUAUUUCUCAUUGCACUGAAAUUCAUAUUUAUAGAUGUCUAAUGUAGAAAGAAUUCCUGCUAUCUUCUUCAAUCCUAGAUGCUUUGUACCAUAUGUUUUAGGUAAUCUCCCUACUAUGGAUGGCUAUAUUAUUUUUGUAAUUUAAUUAUCAAUCUGUUAAGAGUGUUGUGC
Molecule: long non-coding RNA, 1530 nt
Organism: Vitis riparia (riverbank grape)
Lineage: Eukaryota; Viridiplantae; Streptophyta; Magnoliopsida; Vitales; Vitaceae
Exons: 5
Source: RefSeq, a predicted model, not a curated record